RNAcentral lists this ribosomal RNA (346 nucleotides) under uncultured fungus. RNAcentral describes it as "eukaryotic LSU rRNA". The record is from RNAcentral. Lineage: Eukaryota; Fungi.
AGAGUUAAAUAGUACGUGAAAUUGUCAAAAGGGAAACGCUUGAAACCAGUAUUGCUUGCAGGAAAUCAUCCGUUCCGUCAGGUGCGGUGCACUUUUCUGUAUGCAGGUCAACAUGAGUUUUCCGUGCGGUACAAAGCCUUGGGAAGGUAGCGCUGAUCUCGGUUGGCGUGUUAUAGCCCAAGGAAAUGCCGGGUGGAAGACUGAGGAAUGCAGUGGAUUUUGUUAGUCUCUCCGCUGCCAUUGAAAACGUCGCCUCAGACAGCUUGCUGAUUGAGAUGGCGCCUAGGUGUCAGUUGGGAUGACCUGCAAUCUGCUUUGGAUGCUGACGAAAUGGUUUUAAACGACC